This 374-nucleotide ribosomal RNA is filed under the name uncultured Bacillus sp. RNAcentral's name for it is "bacterial SSU rRNA". It matches the Rfam family "Bacterial small subunit ribosomal RNA", at positions 349 to 715 of the family's 1533-position model. The record is from RNAcentral. Lineage: Bacteria; Bacillati; Bacillota; Bacilli; Caryophanales; Bacillaceae.
CAGCAGUAGGGAAUUUUCCACAAUGGACGAAAGUCUGAUGGAGCAACGCCGCGUGUGUGAAGAAGGUUUUCGGAUUGUAAAGCACUGUUGUAUGGGAAGAAUAAGGUGAGUAGGAAAUGGCUCAUUGAUGACGGUACCAUACGAGGAAGUCACGGCUAACUACGUGCCAGCAGCCGCGGUAAUACGUAGGUGGCAAGCGUUGUCCGGAAUUAUUGGGCGUAAAGGGCGUGUAGGCGGAUAGUCAAGUCUGGUGUGAAAGUUUGCAGCUUAACUGUAAAAUUGCAUUGGAAACUGAGUAUCUUGAGUAUCGGAGAGGAAAGCGGAAUUCCAUGUGUAGCGGUGAAAUGCGUAGAUAUAUGGAGGAACACCAGUGG